GAGGCGAUAUGCACGCCACGCCACGCCGGCAUGAGCCCCUCCCCACCUGCACUCUUGCCUGGCAUCUCUCUCUCUCUUCUCUCGACCUGCUCACCCACUGGUAGUAAGGCAAGCUCCGGCUUCUUCUUCUUCUUCACUUCUUCCUCCCGUUCCAAUCGCGAGAUGGUAUGCUCCAGGUUCACGAGCGAUUGAUCAGGUGACCCGCGCUUCGGCCUCAUCGCUCGUCGAAUCCGAGGCCGCCGCGAUCGAUUCGGGCACGAAGACCCGCCCCACAACCGCCGGUCCGAUUGCCGCGACGGAAUCGGUGGUGAAUCAGCCUGUUGGGUUCCGGCCAAGACCAAAUUCCCGAUUUUUACUGCAAGUCUGCAAGGAGAUACAGACAAACAGUCCUGGACUCCGCACUCCACUGAUACGGUGAUACCUGAUAGAUAGCAGCCGCGAGCGAGCAUGGGCGGUGUUGGAUGGAGGAGGCUUGGUUCCAAGCUGCAGCAGAGAUGGGGCUGGGACUGGGAGAGCCGCCUCCGCGCCCGGGGCUACUCUUCCGCUCCUGCGCUUCCACCCCACAUGGAGAGCGUUGGAUUCAUAGGGCUUGGGAAUAUGGGCUCCCACAUGGCAAGGAACCUGGUGAGGGCUGGAUACAGAGUGUCAGUUCAUGAUAUAAAUGAGGAUGCCAUGAAGAAGUUCUCGGACGAUGGAAUUCCCACGAAGCGGUCGCCGCUUGAAGUGUCUGAGUCGAGCGAUGUCGUAAUCACCAUGCUGCCUUCCUCUGCCCAUGUCUUAGAUGUAUACAGUGGUCGGAAUGGCUUGCUCGGUAAUGGGGGCCGCCUUGGACCGUGGUUAUACAUAGAUUCAUCCACAGUUGAUCCUCAGACAUCAAGAAAGAUAUCUAUGGACAUGUCAAGAUGCAGUUUAAAUGAACAGAAAGGCUAUGCCGGAAAACCGAUGCUGCUGGAUGCUCCGGUGUCCGGAGGUGUUCCUGCUGCAGAAGCUGGGACGCUAACUUUCAUGGUGGGUGGUUUAGAAGAAACAUACAUAGCAGCGAAGCCGUUACUUCUCGCAAUGGGCAAAAAGCUAAUCUACUGCGGCGGGGCUGGUAAUGGCUCGGCUGCAAAGAUCUGUAACAAUAUGGCCAUGGCUAUCAGCAUGCUUGGGGUCUCUGAGGCCUUUGCUCUUGGUCAGAAUCUCGGGAUCAAAGCAAGCACUCUCACAGAUAUAUUCAAUUGCUCUAGCGCCCGAUGCUGGAGUAGUGACACAUAUAACCCAGUUCCUGGAGUAAUGGCAGGAGUGCCAUCGGCGAGGAAUUAUGACGGUGGUUUCACCUCCAAACUAAUGGCUAAAGAUUUGGAUUUGGCUAUGGCCUCUGCAUCUGGAGUUGGCUUCAAAUGUCCCAUGGGUUCUGAAGCACUUGAGAUUUACCGGAAGUUAUGCGACGAGGGCUGUGAAUUCAAGGAUUUCUCAUGCGCGUUUCGCCACUUCUACACCGGCAAGGAUGAGAAGUGAUCCCUGUAGCUAUCCCAGCAAACUCAACACUGGUCGAAAUAAAACAAUAAUGUUCUCCAAUCGAUUGAAUUUAGGUGUUAGUUGAACAGUGCCCAGACAAGGUUUUGGAAAAUAAAUAUAGAAAGGACUCCACCACCGGAUAUUCAAAAGGGGACUGAUCUGCGCCGGCCCAAACUUUCGGCCGGCCGCGCGCGAGCCGCAGGAUCCACCAACCCCGCGUCGUUCGCACCGUUGGAUCCGCAUGCAA
This is an RNA transcript of Hordeum vulgare subsp. vulgare (domesticated barley), 1747 nucleotides long. It is a transcript of the gene named probable 3-hydroxyisobutyrate dehydrogenase, mitochondrial, with no coding region annotated. The transcript is spliced from 12 exons. Lineage: Eukaryota; Viridiplantae; Streptophyta; Magnoliopsida; Poales; Poaceae. The record is from RefSeq and is a predicted model, not a curated record.